Molecule: long non-coding RNA, 3237 nt
Filed under: Zostera marina
Lineage: Eukaryota; Viridiplantae; Streptophyta; Magnoliopsida; Alismatales; Zosteraceae
Description: long non-coding RNA (ZMAR_LNC004277)
Source: RNAcentral
UUUUGCCUAUUUAAAUCUACCUCUUUUCCAUACUAAACCCACAAUCAAACGAACACCACUACUAAACCUUUUUCUACUUUCCUCUAUCUUCUACCUACUUCGAACUUCAGCUACCUUCAAACAAUACCAGACAGCCUAACCCAAUACUACCUAAACCCCCUUCGAAAACAUCCCAAAACACCAACACCAUAACGCCCCAUUGCCCCAACACCCCGAAAUGACACAACAACCCAUUUUCAACAAAACGUAGCUGCAAUGAUCGCCAUCCCUAUUUUGUUCAAGAUUGUCAGUUUGUUUUCUAUUGUUGUGGGGUUUGAUUAAGUUCAGUUUCGGUCUUUAGUUGAGCUUCUGUUCGGUUUAUUUACUGAUCGCCGGUGGAUGGUAAGUGGGUUGUGUCGUUCUUGGGUUUCUUUUCUUUUUUCGUUCGUCUGUUGAUGGUUAGUAGGAUGAUAUCUUGUUUAUAUAUGUUACUUCCGGUGAAACUGUACUUCCCUUUUUUUUCCUCUUCGGUUUUUUCCUUAUUCUCGUUGGAAGGCUAAAACGUAUCACUUCUUCAAUGUGCGGAUGGUGAUGUCGGCUACGGGAAUGAACACCAGAAUGGGAAAGCCCCAAUUCCAGUAGGCAGCAACUAUCGUUAUGAAAAUAAAAGAAUUACAAGAUUGGGAGGAAGAAGAAGAAACAAGUCUAAAAAGGUAAACUUGAAACAUAUCUUUAUUUAUUACUGAUUAUAGUAUUUAUACAUUGAUUUACAACUGAAUUAUAACAAAUCAACUGCUCUAAUCUUCUGUAGUUAGUUACACAAAUAAGUAGUUAGUUAACCUUUAUUUAGGUUUAAUACUCCCCCCUUAAAUUGGGGAUGUAAGGUCCUUAAUGCCCAAUUUGACUAAUACUUCACGCAUUUGUGUUUCUCCAACACAUUUAGUGAAUAUGUCAGCUAGCUGAUUCUUUGUUCCAAUAUAUUCUAGAGUUAUUUCCCUUGUUACUAGCUUUUCUCUUGUCAAUGUGUUUAGUCUUCUCAUGGAAGACUGGAUUAUCGGCUAUAUACAUUGCUGAUUUGUUAUCGUACAUGAUUGUAGUUGGCUUUGAUAAUUUGAUGCUCAUUUCUAAAAGUAAUUGUCUUAGCCAGACUACUUCUCCAGUUACUGAUGCCAUAACUUUGUACUUUGCCUCAGUUGAGGAUAGAGAGACUGUUUUCUGCUUCAUUGAUUUCUAUGAUAUUAAACUAUCUCCUAAGAAAACACAAAAACCAGUCAUCACAAUAUGCUUUAAGCUCUAGUGGCUUGUCCCUAUAUAUCAUUACUUCCUGUCCAGGAGAUUGUUUUAAAUAUUUUAGCAGUUUGCACACUGCAUCUAGAUGUAAUUGAGUUGGUUUUUCUAUGAAUUGGCUCAGUGUCCUUACAGUAAAUGUAAUGUCUGGCCUGACAAUGUUUAAGUAUAUUAAUCUUCCAAUUAAUCUCCUAUAGAUAAAUGGAUCAGUUAGAGCUUUAGUCUUAUCAUUUCUCCAGUCAAUACCUCUUUCCAUAGGUAUUUUGGAGAUUUUGGCUCCGAAUAGUCCAUUCUCAUUAAUUAGAUCCAAUAUGUAUUUUCUUUGUGAUAAGAAAAUACCUUGAUCUGAGUGGGCUACUUCAAUUCCUAGGAACUAAUGUAAUCUUCCUAGGUCCUUUAUUUUGAAGUGUUUUUGUAUCUGUUGUUUUAAUGAACUUAUAUCUAAUUCACAACUUCCUGUAAUUAUUAUAUCAUCUAUAUAUAUGAUUAUAUAUGUUAUUUUCUGAUUUCUCUCUCUUAUGAAUAAGGAAUAAUCAGAUUUACAUUGUUUAAAAUCAAAAUUUAUUAGAACACCUCUUAAUUUGCGAAACCAUUGUCUAGAGGCUUGCUUCAACCCAUAAAUUGAUUUUUUUAGUUUACAAACUCUUCACUACAAAAAACCAGCGCAGUUCUGACGGCAAAUUCCGGUGGCCUGUAUAAUGGUUCCUGACGGCCAAGCCGACGACAUUCCAUCGCCGGAAGUGAUGUCGCCGGAAUUGUGAAAUACCGGCGGCUUGGCCGUCGGCAAAAAAAUUUGGAUUCCGAUUUUAACAUAAAUUGUCCCGGCGGCUUAGUCGCCGACUUUUUUUUUUGAAAAUUAUAUCCCGGCGGCCAGGCCGUCGGUUGUUAUUUUUGGAAAAUAAUUUUCCGACGGCCUGGCCGCUGGUCAAUAUUUCCCGGGAAGAAAUUUUUGGCGGCCUAGCCGCUGGUUCAAUUUUGAAAAAAAAAAUGAAAUUAAUAUGAAAUUGAAAAUAAAAAUAAAAUUAAAAAUGAAAUUGAAAUUGAUAUUAAAAUUGAAAUUGAUAUUAAAAUUGAAAUUGAUAUUAAAAUUGAAAUUGAUAUUAAAAUUGAAAUUGAUAUUAAAAUUGAAAUUGAUAUUAAAAUUGAAAUUGAUAUUAAAAUUGAAAUUGAUAUUAAAAUUGAAAUUGAUAUUAAAAUUGAAAUUGAAUUCGAAAUUUAAUAAUUAAUGUAGAACAGAAAUUAACUUCGACAGUCACUAAUUUAACUUCUUUUUUUCGCUCUUUUUCUUCUUUUUAGUUCCGACCACCUUUCGUAGCGCCUCUUUCGUGAAUAUUAUCGAUCUUUCUACGCGCGAAGUGGUGUGCUCCUCUUGUGGCGUAGUUUGUAGAGGCGUCGUAGUUUCUUGCGUUGUUGGUAGUUGAGUAGUCGGUGCGGCGGCUCUAGAAGAUGACGCUCCAGGAGUAUAAAUGUUUUGCGCUGCAUCGUUGUUGAACAUUUUCGGAAACUCCGGUAAGCGCAAGUUUGGAUUUUGAGCGAGCAUUGCGGAGUUGUAUUGUUGGAAGAACGCCAUUUGACGAGCCAUAAACUCUUCAUUCUUACGAGCAAUAAACUUUUCAUUCUGACGAGCCAUCGUCUCAGUCUGACGAGCCAUCGCCUCAGUCUGACGAGCAUCGCCUCAGUCUGACGAGCAUCGCCUCAGUCUGACGAGCCAUCGCUCUCUCGACAGCCUCGUUGACCUUAUCUUGAACCUCUGCUUCGGUCAUUGCAUAUUUUCCUUUGUCCAUGCAGAAGUUCCCCACAUUCAUGCGAUGUGUUGUCUUUUUGCUCAAUAAGGAACCAGUUGUUCCUAAUGUUCUUGAUUUUUUCGAGCUUCUACCGAUAAAUUCGGUUAUAGCAAAUUGGAUUAGAGCCUAAUGAAAAAGAAAACAUGAUAAUAAUUAAUGUAAAUAUAACUAUUGAAUUAUAUUGGAA